RNAcentral lists this ribosomal RNA (483 nucleotides) under uncultured bacterium. Its description in RNAcentral is "partial 16S ribosomal RNA". It matches the Rfam family "Bacterial small subunit ribosomal RNA", at positions 30 to 507 of the family's 1533-position model. The record is from RNAcentral.
UUGAACGCUGGCGGCAGGCCUAACACAUGCCAGUCGAGCGGAUGAAGGGAGCUUGCUCCUGGAUUCAGCGGCGGACGGGUGAGUAAUGCCUAGGAAUCUGCCUGGUAGUGGGGGAUAACGUCCGGAAACGGGCGCUAAUACCGCAUACGUCCUGAGGGAGAAAGUGGGGGAUCUUCGGACCUCACGCUAUCAGAUGAGCCUAGGUCGGAUUAGCUAGUUGGUGGGGUAGAGGCCUACCAAGGCGACGAUCCGUAACUGGUCUGAGAGGAUGAUCAGUCACACUGGAACUGAGACACGGUCCAGGCUCCUACGGGAGGCAGCAGUGGGGAAUAUUGGACAAUGGGCGAAAGCCUGAUCCAGCCAUGCCGCGUGUGUGAAGAAGGUCUUCGGAUUGUAAAGCACUUUAAGUUGGGAGGAAGGGCAGUAAGUUAAUACCUUGCUGUUUUGACGUUACCAACAGAAUAAGCACCGGCUAACUUCGUG